GAAACCCGGUGAUCUAGCCAUGGGCAGGUUGAAGGUUGGGUAACACUAACUGGAGGACCGAACCGACUAAUGUUGAAAAAUUAGCGGAUGACUUGUGGCUGGGGGUGAAAGGCCAAUCAAACCGGGAGAUAGCUGGUUCUCCCCGAAAGCUAUUUAGGUAGCGCCUCGUGAAUUCAUCUCCGGGGGUAGAGCACUGUUUCGGCAAGGGGGUCAUCCCGACUUACCAACCCGAUGCAAACUGCGAAUACCGGAGAAUGUUAUCACGGGAGACACACGGCGGGUGCUAACGUCCGUCGUGAAGAGGGAAACAACCCAGACCGCCAGCUAAGGUCCCAAAGUCAUGGUUAAGUGGGAAACGAUGUGGGAAGGCCCAGACAGCCAGGAUGUUGGCUUAGAAGCAGCCAUCAUUUAAAGAAAGCGUAAUAGCUCACUGGUCGAGUCGGCCUGCGCGGAAGAUGUAACGGGGCUAAACCAUGCACCGAAGCUGCGGCAGCGACACUAUGUGUUGUUGGGUAGGGGAGCGUUCUGUAAGCCUGUGAAGGUGGCCUGUGAGGGUUGCUGGAGGUAUCAGAAGUGCGAAUGCUGACAUAAGUAACGAUAAAGCGGGUGAAAAGCCCGCUCGCCGGAAGACCAAGGGUUCCUGUCCAACGUUAAUCGGGGCAGGGUGAGUCGACCCCUAAGGCGAGGCCGAAAGGCGUAGUCGAUGGGAAACAGGUUAAUAUUCCUGUACUUGGUGUUACUGCGAAGGGGGGACGGAGAAGGCUAUGUUGGCCGGGCGACGGUUGUCCCGGUUUAAGCGUGUAGGCUGGUUUUCCAGGCAAAUCCGGAAAACCAAGGCUGAGGCGUGAUGACGAGGCACUACGGUGCUGAAGCGACAAAUGCCCUGCUUCCAGGAAAAGCCUCUAAGCAUCAGGUAACAUCAAAUCGUACCCCAAACCGACACAGGUGGUCAGGUAGAGAAUACCAAGGCGCUUGAGAGAACUCGGGUGAAGGAACUAGGCAAAAUGGUGCCGUAACUUCGGGAGAAGGCACGCUGAUAUGUAGGUGAAGCGACUUGCUCGUGGAGCUGAAAUCAGUCGAAGAUACCAGCUGGCUGCAACUGUUUAUUAAAAACACAGCACUGUGCAAACACGAAAGUGGACGUAUACGGUGUGACGCCUGCCCGGUGCCGGAAGGUUAAUUGAUGGGGUUAGCGGCAACGCGAAGCUCUUGAUCGAAGCCCCGGUAAACGGCGGCCGUAACUAUAACGGUCCUAAGGUAGCGAAAUUCCUUGUCGGGUAAGUUCCGACCUGCACGAAUGGCGUAAUGAUGGCCAGGCUGUCUCCACCCGAGACUCAGUGAAAUUGAACUCGCUGUGAAGAUGCAGUGUACCCGCGGCAAGACGGAAAGACCCCGUGAACCUUUACUAUAGCUUGACACUGAACAUUGAGCCUUGAUGUGUAGGAUAGGUGGGAGGCUUUGAAGUGUGGACGCCAGUCUGCAUGGAGCCGACCUUGAAAUACCACCCUUUAAUGUUUGAUGUUCUAACGUUGGCCCGUAAUCCGGGUUGCGGACAGUGUCUGGUGGGUAGUUUGACUGGGGCGGUCUCCUCCUAAAGAGUAACGGAGGAGCACGAAGGUUGGCUAAUCCUGGUCGGACAUCAGGAGGUUAGUGCAAUGGCAUAAGCCAGCUUGACUGCGAGCGUGACGGCGCGAGCAGGUGCGAAAGCAGGUCAUAGUGAUCCGGUGGUUCUGAAUGGAAGGGCCAUCGCUCAACGGAUAAAAGGUACUCCGGGGAUAACAGGCUGAUACCGCCCAAGAGUUCAUAUCGACGGCGGUGUUUGGCACCUCGAUGUCGGCUCAUCACAUCCUGGGGCUGAAGUAGGUCCCAAGGGUAUGGCUGUUCGCCAUUUAAAGUGGUACGCGAGCUGGGUUUAGAACGUCGUGAGACAGUUCGGUCCCUAUCUGCCGUGGGCGCUGGAGAACUGAGGGGGGCUGCUCCUAGUACGAGAGGACCGGAGUGGACGCAUCACUGGUGUUCGGGUUGUCAUGCCAAUGGCACUGCCCGGUAGCUAAAUGCGGAAGAGAUAAGUGCUGAAAGCAUCUAAGCACGAAACUUGCC
Molecule: ribosomal RNA, 2100 nt
Filed under: Escherichia coli
Lineage: Bacteria; Pseudomonadati; Pseudomonadota; Gammaproteobacteria; Enterobacterales; Enterobacteriaceae
Description: partial 23S ribosomal RNA
Rfam family: Bacterial large subunit ribosomal RNA
Source: RNAcentral